This 773-nucleotide ribosomal RNA is filed under the name uncultured Neocallimastigales. RNAcentral describes it as "partial large subunit ribosomal RNA". It matches the Rfam family "Eukaryotic large subunit ribosomal RNA", at positions 24 to 646 of the family's 3401-position model. The record is from RNAcentral. Lineage: Eukaryota; Fungi; Neocallimastigomycota; Neocallimastigomycetes; Neocallimastigales.
UAUCUCUGUAGAGUCUGCAUAUCAAUAAGCGGAGGAAAAGAAACUAACAAGGAUUCCCUUAGUAACGGCGAGUGAAGCGGGAAGAGCUCAAAUUUGAAAUCUUCAAGGUUCUACCUUGACGAAUUGUAGUUUAAAGAAGUGUUUUCUGUUGGAGUUUUGGUAAAAGUUCUUUGGAAUAGGACAUCAUAGAGGGUGAGAAUCCCGUAUUUGACCAUUAUUUCAGCUGUGUGAUACACUUUCAAAGAGUCGGAUUGUUUGGGAAUGCAGUCCAAAAUGGGUGGUAAAUUUCAUCUAAAGCUAAAUAUUGGCGAGAGACCGAUAGCGAACAAGUACCGUGAGGGAAAGAUGAAAAGAACUUUGAAAAGAGAGUUAAACAGUACGUGAAAUUGUCAAAAGGGAAGCGUUUGACACCAGUGUUGUUUUCUCGAAAAUCAAUUAAAAAAAGUUGGAUUUUGUAUUGUUAAGACCUUAUCAGCUUACUGUACUCUUUUCUUGCUUUUUUUAAUGCACUUUUCGUUUAACAAGUCAACAUCAAUUUCUUUUGUUGUAAAAGAGUCAUUGGAAGGUGGCUUUCACUUCGGUGAAAGUGUUUAUAGCCUUUGGCUUCUGCAAUCGGAGAGAUUGAGGUCUGCAGCGUAGAUCCUUCGGGGCUAGAUACGUAGAUGCUAAGUUAUAGUUUUUUAUAGACAACUUGUUGACUAUAAUUAAUCAUGUAGCUUACUCGUUUGCGCUAUUUUACCUACGCUUAGGAUGUUGACGAGACUGUCGAUCUC